Molecule: long non-coding RNA, 248 nt
Filed under: Vigna radiata
Lineage: Eukaryota; Viridiplantae; Streptophyta; Magnoliopsida; Fabales; Fabaceae
Description: long non-coding RNA (VRAD_LNC003065)
Source: RNAcentral
UUCUCAGCCUCUUCCAAGAAGAUUCCCGUGUCCAAGUGGGUUAUGGAAGAAGUGAGUUCCACAUCUGGACGAACAACCAUACCCGCUUCCAAAUCAACGUCUUUCAUCACAGCUUUCUUUAGAUCACGUAGCUGGGGAAGGACUUGGUCAUUACAUGUUCACUUUGGGAUCAGAAAUUGAUUUUGAUAUGUGUAAGCAAAAUGAGAGUAAAAGAGAAUGAGUGAAGAUGAUAAUAGAAAGGAUCUGUG